Schistocerca serialis cubense is the source of this 515-nucleotide long non-coding RNA. RefSeq lists it as uncharacterized. The transcript has 3 exons. The record is from RefSeq and is a predicted model, not a curated record. NCBI's taxonomy places the organism in Eukaryota, Metazoa, Arthropoda, Insecta, Orthoptera, Acrididae.
UCGCGCGCGACCAACCGCCAACGCCGCUGCCGCGCCGCGCUGCGCUGCGCUGCGGUAAACUCGCGCCGGUCGCUGGUUCGCAGCGACCUCCUCACUACCGUCGUCAUUACCUAGCCUGUGUCCUCUGGUCAACUCGUCUCCGUGAGACGCCAGUGGAUAGCCACUGCUCGGAUCAGGGCAGUCGACAGUUCCCGACACAACGUCUGCCACGUGUAGCUGAUGAUGAGACUAUCGGCAAAGGAACGUCUUUGCUGAAGAGCUUCGGUGCUCAGGACUCUGCGCUCUUAUACCUGUCUGCUGCCGCCAGCAUCCGCAUCUAGGGACUGUGGCACGGUACCCAGCCUCAAUUAGGUGGAGUGUCUGAGGAAUUUAUCGGAGCGCACCCACCGCACACGCACAGGGGCUAUCAAAGCGGGAGCUGGCACGCCACGUGUCUGAAAGCGGCAGCUGCCACGUCGGUUGCAUGUGUGCCUGCGGGCGCUGACGUCAGAGCCGUCUGCGGCGUGAGAGAUGAG